RNAcentral lists this small RNA (771 nucleotides) under Pan troglodytes (chimpanzee). RNAcentral describes it as "processed transcript". The record is from RNAcentral. Lineage: Eukaryota; Metazoa; Chordata; Mammalia; Primates; Hominidae.
CUGGCAUCAGUUACUGUGUUGACUCACUCAGUGUUGGGAUCACUCACUUUCCCCCUACAGGACUCAGAUCUGGGAGGCAAUUACCUUCAGAGAAAAACGAAUAGGAAAAACUGAAGUGUUACUUUUUUUAAAGCUGCUGAAGUUUGUUGGUUUCUCAUUGUUUUUAAGCCUACUGGAGCAAUAAAGUUUGAAGAACUUUUACCAGGUUUUUUUUAUCGCUGCCUUGAUAUACACUUUUCAAAAUGCUUUGGUGGGAAGAAGUAGAGGACUGUUAUGAAAGAGAAGAUGUUCAAAAGAAAACAUUCACAAAAUGGGUAAAUGCACAAUUUUCUAAGGCGAUUUGACAGAUCUGUUGAGAAAUGGCGGCGUUUUCAUUAUGAUAUAAAGAUAUUUAAUCAGUGGCUAACAGAAGCUGAACAGUUUCUCAGAAAGACACAAAUUCCUGAGAAUUGGGAACAUGCUAAAUACAAAUGGUAUCUUAAGGAACUCCAGGAUGGCAUUGGGCAGCGGCAAACUGUUGUCAGAGCAUUGAAUGCAACUGGGGAAGAAAUAAUUCAGCAAUCCUCAAAAACAGAUGCCAGUAUUCUACAGGAAAAAUUGGGAAGCCUGAAUCUGCGGUGGCAGGAGGUCUGCAAACAGCUGUCAGACAGAAAAAAGAGGCUAGAAGAACAAAAGAAUAUCUUGUCAGAAUUUCAAAGAGAUUUAAAUGAAUUUGUUUUAUGGUUGGAGGAAGCAGAUAACAUUGCUAGUAUCCCACUUGAACCUGGAAAU